GGCGCGGUAGGCAACUGGACGACCACAUCGGCUCAGACCCGGUGAUGCUGCGGGUUCGACUCCCGUCUGCGCUAC
This 75-nucleotide transfer RNA is filed under the name Microbacterium phage PauloDiaboli. RNAcentral's name for it is "tRNA-Leu". It matches the Rfam family "tRNA". From Rfam's summary of the family: Transfer RNA (tRNA) molecules are approximately 80 nucleotides in length. Their secondary structure includes four short double-helical elements and three loops (D, anti-codon, and T loops). Further hydrogen bonds mediate the characteristic L-shaped molecular structure. tRNAs have two regions of fundamental functional importance: the anti-codon, which is responsible for specific mRNA codon recognition, and the 3' end, to which the tRNAs corresponding amino acid is attached (by aminoacyl-tRNA synthetases). tRNAs cope with the degeneracy of the genetic code in two manners: having more than one tRNA (with a specific anti-codon) for a particular amino acid; and 'wobble' base-pairing, i.e. permitting non-standard base-pairing at the 3rd anti-codon position. The record is from RNAcentral. Lineage: Duplodnaviria; Heunggongvirae; Uroviricota; Caudoviricetes.